UACCAGCACCCCGAGUGGUCGGGACGAUUAUUGGGCCUAAAGCAUCCGUAGCCGGUUUUACAAGUCCUCCGUUAAAUCCAGCUGCUUAACAGAUGGGCUGCGGAGGAUACUAUAAGACUAGGAGGCAGGAGAGGCAAGCGGUACUCAGUGGGUAGGGGUAAAAUCCGUUGAUCCAUUGAAGACCACCAGUGGCGAAGGCGGCUUGCCAGAAUGCGCUCGACGGUGAGGGAUGAAGGCUGGGGGAGCAAGCCGG
Molecule: ribosomal RNA, 253 nt
Filed under: uncultured bacterium
Lineage: Bacteria
Description: partial 16S ribosomal RNA
Rfam family: Archaeal small subunit ribosomal RNA
Source: RNAcentral